Long non-coding RNA from Neopsephotus bourkii (Bourke's parrot), 1018 nucleotides. RefSeq lists it as uncharacterized. NCBI's taxonomy places the organism in Eukaryota, Metazoa, Chordata, Aves, Psittaciformes, Psittacidae. The record is from RefSeq and is a predicted model, not a curated record. The transcript has 3 exons.
AGAGGUAGUUGGCUACAUUAGGACCUGAACAGGAUCGUGUUCUAAUAAACGGCUUAGUACACCUCUUGAGAAAUAAUGUAAAAGCCCUUUGACUUUGCAUGCACCCCUUCUCCCCAUUUCCAAGACACAUUUGUCUAAAAGAGGCAAGUGAUAACAUUUGUAACUAUCGGCCAAACUAUUCUUGGAGGUACUUCUAUGUCUUUUUUCCUUUCAAACAUCAACAGAACUGAGGAUCAGAAGAGGUGGGUGUAAAAAUAUCAAAUCUUGUCAUAUUUCUCCACUUCAGUAUCUUUUCCAUGAAUCUCUGCUGGCAGACCAGCUACUUUGAGAGCAGCAUUUUUUCUGUUUUCCAAGGACGGUUUUCUUCAGUAGUGUUAGGUCAGACUGGCCAUUUGGCUUCUGACAGCCCCUCUUUGAAGGGGCUGCUCCUGCUUCCUACACAACAGGAUGACAGUCUUUGCUUGGCACUUGACUGGUGUGCCAGCCUGCAUCCUUAUUCAUUCUCUGAACAGUGACAGGCCAGACUAAGCUAAUGGAUUUCGCUCAUUGAUCUGCAGUCAAUAACCACAAUAUGCCAAUAACCUGGCAAUGCCUGUUAGAGAGAAAAAAAUAAAUGCCAGUUUGCAAUGUGACCUGUAAUUGCCACAGCAGAACUAAGUUCUACAGUUAGUUUUGUCUGACCUGAAACCUUCUGAAAUUCUGCUAAGAGCCACUUAAGCAAUACUGGUAAGUUAUUAGAAGUGAAGUGCUAAAGGAACAAGGAACCUGAAUUUUGGACUCUCCUCUGUCACUGACUUGAAGUAGGACCUCCAGCAAGUCAUAUGGGACUUUUCCCCACUGUGACUUGGGAGAAUAACUUUUGUGAAAUAGACCAAGAUCUGCAAAUGAGGAUGUAGCAGUACCUCAAAUAGCAUUUAUUGCUGCAGUAGGACACCAUGACAAUGACACAGCAGCUAGAGUCAGCAGGAUUGGCCCUGCAGAGUGCCAUCUUGUUCCUGUCCAGGUUUCAUUUGUUCCU